Molecule: long non-coding RNA, 1009 nt
Filed under: Sinocyclocheilus grahami
Lineage: Eukaryota; Metazoa; Chordata; Actinopteri; Cypriniformes; Cyprinidae
Description: lncRNA (ENSSGRG00000047012.1)
Source: RNAcentral
UUGCAGUCUGUCAGUCAUAUAAUGGAGCUGCUUGAAUUUUUAAAUGCAUGUUUUAAACAUAUUGAUUUUCCUCAGCGGAGUCGGUGGCCACCAGGGUGGCGUCUCUGAGGACUCAAUAUGCCAGACUGAGGAAACCGAAAGCAAGCGGGGGCGAGAAGAAGCCCCUCACGAUGAGGCAGCGCUGGCUCCUGAGGGCCCUUGAUUUCCUGAAGCCACACAUCGUUCAUCGGCGACACGAGACCACUCUGGGUUUGGCGUCCUCAGAUAAAGCGGAGGAGACUCUGGACGAGUCGGACGAAAUGUCGCAGGAGACAGAUAAAGAAGUGGACAGUUUCGACUCCAUCAGCGUGUGUCUCUCCCCGAUGCCCGGCACUCCAGACACCGGCAUCCCCGAGGAAACUGCCUCGUACUCGCUGUCUCCCCGGAGCACAUCCUGCAAACGCACACGCUCCUCCGAAUCCGACAUCGAGCUGCAGAAGCUGGAGGUGUUGAAGCAGAUGUCUGCUAAAGUCCUGGAGAACCCGUCUCCAGACGCCGCCACAGUCUUCUCCAGCCAGGUGGCCAUGGAGUACCGUCUGCUGAGAGACCCCAGCGUCCAGAUGCGCGUCCGCCGGCAGAUCAUGGCUCUCCUCUACGAGGCACAGGAUUCAGAGAGACGUUCCCGACAGUCCAAGAGACACGUACAGAGAGAACUCAAAACUGAGGAGGACGUUACUUGGAUUAACACUAAUAUAUAAGUUGAAAUGUGGUUUUGUUGCAGACUGUGUUCAUCUUGUUAAUGCUCUUGAUUGUUUUCUACGUUGUACUGAACUAUUUUUCUUAGUGGAAGCUUUGACAUAAUCUACAUGUAAGAUAAUAAAACAAUUUCAACUUGACGUCCGUGUACUAUUUCUGUAGCUGUUAGAUGAUGGAUAAUCAAAACAAGCUCUGACUGUUUUGCUAGUAUGAUGUGAAGUGCCAUCAAAUACCUUUUUGAGUCGAAAUACUGCAUCUGUCCAGCAGGUGGCAG